AACGCACAUUGCGCCCUCUGGUAUUCCGGGGGGCAUGCCUGUUCGAGCGUCAUUAAGUCCAAUCCAGCCCGGCUGGGUGUUGGGCGCCGCGGUGUCCCGCCGCGCGCCUCAAUGUCGCCGGCCGCGCCGACCGUCUCCUGGCGUCGUGAUGAACCAUCGCUUCGGAGGACGGGCGGACGCGCGCCGUCAAACCACAUCUCAAGGUUGACCUCGGAUCAGGUAGGGAUACCCGCUGAACUUAA
This 242-nucleotide unclassified non-coding RNA is filed under the name uncultured Capnodiales. RNAcentral describes it as "sequence contains 5.8S rRNA gene, ITS2, 28S rRNA gene". The stretch from base 1 to 52 matches the Rfam family "5.8S ribosomal RNA", at positions 103 to 154 of the family's 154-position model. The record is from RNAcentral. Lineage: Eukaryota; Fungi; Ascomycota; Dothideomycetes; Capnodiales.